AUCCUCUCAGAGUCACACCUGGAGAGUUUCCAGUACUCUACCGGUCUCAACUACGGGAAGGAGAGUCAAGCAGAGGCCUACCCAUUCCAUUCCUAGCUUGGCCAGUGGCUAGUGAGUGGAAGGCAGUGUGCUACAGUC
Molecule: small nucleolar RNA, 138 nt
Filed under: Ornithorhynchus anatinus (platypus)
Lineage: Eukaryota; Metazoa; Chordata; Mammalia; Monotremata; Ornithorhynchidae
Source: RNAcentral